Molecule: long non-coding RNA, 4090 nt
Filed under: Sus scrofa (pig)
Lineage: Eukaryota; Metazoa; Chordata; Mammalia; Artiodactyla; Suidae
Description: lncRNA (ENSSSCG00000062056.1)
Source: RNAcentral
CACUUUUGUCUUGUUCAUCACCUCGUCCUCCAGUGAACGCCCCCUGACCAGUUGAUUCAGAAUCAGGCCAGACUCCCAGCCUGUGGCACACCGAGGGGAAGGGCAAACAGCCAGUCCAAGUGAGUUCUAAAUUUUAAUUCAUCACCCUUUAUUUUUUACACCUGAGAGCACCUGUAAUAAAGGCUGGCAUGAAUAAACUUGGCUCUACCUUCAUGGCAUUCCCUCUGGCUUCGUUACUUCUCUCUGGAAAAUGUGAAAUUGUCUAAGCCCGUGGUAAUCAACGUUGAGCACGCGUUGGAAUCACCUGGAAAGUGUAUUAAAACACAGCUAACUGGGUUUGCACCCCCCACCCCUCCCCCGCACAGAAUUUCUCAUGCAGGAGGUUUUGGGUGGAGCUGGAGAAUAUGCAUUUCUGACAAGUUCCUGGAUGAUGCUGUUUCUGCUUGUCAGGGAAGGACCCUGGGAGAGGCCCCAGGUUCUCUCCCAGGGGAAAGGGAGAGGGAAUAUUUUGGGGCCGGGGAUGGCAAGGUCCCUUUGUGUUGCUGGACGCAGACUAAUGAGAGACAGGGUCAGUGCUGGGGUGGUAGGAAAUCUCUGUCCCUGAAAUCACGGACUGCUGGUCACGAUCAACUGGGAGCCAUGGAGAGGACACAUCAGGCCUUGCCCCUAGCGAUGCUAGAGGGCAAGAGCCAGGACCUGGAUUUUUAAGAAGCUCUGUGAAAAUUUAAUGCACAGCAAGACUUAGGACCCAUGGAGCUAUGUACGUCAAUAAUAUUUGGAAGCUUUUUAUGAGAAAAUGAUUUCUAGCAGCCUCUUAGAGCAGGAAUCUUAAAAAUCCGCCUGAGUUUUUAAGAUUAAAAUACCAACACAUACACACAAAUAAAAUACCAACACAAAUGUCCCUUCGUUGUGAAUUAUCAUGGCAGAAGGCUUCUUGUCUUUCACACAAAGAGUUUUUUCAAGGAGCAAAAGAAAAAAGGUGAAAGGUUCACGCAGUAUUCUCAGACCCUGAUAUUAUGUACUUAGAAAAUAGUUUGCCUCACUUGCCUGGACAUUUGAGACAAAAGUGUUAUUUUGAUGAUAAAUUUGGCAGGGGUCCCUGGAGAGAACCAGUGCUGCUUUCUUGAAUUUUCUAGCUGUGCAGUAGAGAUUAUCUGUGCACAUGAGUUAAUCAGUCGUCCCGUCCCCCCGCCCCCCACCCCCAGUUCAGAGCAACUGGGCGACCAAGGACAAAUGUUGCAGCUCAGAAGUAAAAAGAUGCUUUGUCUGCAACACUCAGAACUUACAGGAAGUUUCCUCCUUGCUGGGAAGGUAGACUUUGGAGCAUGAUUAUUAAAUUUCUCUUUAUCUCUCUUGUUUGACCGGUUCCCACAAACAACAUUUGCUUCCAUGAUUUAAAAGUUAUCUAAUACGGUUUCGAAAAAUGGACGCAGCAAUUCAGACGUUGAAUUUCGCGUCACAAGGCACUUGAAAAAGAAGUGCCUUGCCUUGUUCUUCCUCCUCUUCCUUCUCCCAAAGAACAAACGUCUGCGUCUCUUGCAGCUUUUUUCCUGCUCCGUCCCUGUCAUCCUUUUCCCCAGGGGGUUGUUGCUGAAAAGAGUCUCUGGGGGCUUUUUCUUAUUGUGCAGAAAGUGUCCUCCCCGUGCCCUGUGUGUGUUGGGGGGGGUGCAGGGAGGGAUGCGCUCAUUCUGCAGUUUCAUGGGGCUCCUCUCAGUGCCAGUUUGCAGCGGGCUUGGACGGGAGCCCUGGGAAGCUGGUGGGCUGGACAAUGAGGAACCCGAGCCCAGUGACCUGGCAAGCCCUCUCGGGCUCUUUGUCAUUUAUUCCAUGAAGCCCUCCUUCUCGCGGGAAAUCCUGUGGAGACCUCCAAGGAAGAACUGGGAACCUCUCCAUAAACCCUGGCCAGUGGGGUUCGUGGCCAACACUCUCCAGGGAGGCAAGAGAGCUGAUACUAAGGGCUGCCCUCCUGGGCGUGGGGAGCCUGGUCUUUAAAUGAGAAGGAAAAUGCGAGGUUUGCCUGGAAAUACUCUAGCUUUGGCCUGAGCAUGUUGACAUGAUAAAAUCUCCAUGUGACAACAGCAAGGCAGAUGGAUCUGGGUGGGGAAUGGGGGCCAGAGGAGCGAAGCCAGUCUCUGAACGGGAACUAGAGCCAACUGUAGACUCAAGCCUUUCUCUCUUUUUGGGGGGAAGGGUUUGUGACAAAGGGAGAGUUGAGGAAAUGACAGUUUUUAAGGCUAUUUGAGGGAUUAAAUACAGCUUCCCUUUGGGGUGCUUGUGCUGAGUACUUCUUUCAUAAACUUGGCACCAGUGAGAGGAUGGCUGGCUGAACGAGGUCGUCCUCCUAUCCUUUAACCCAAACCAAACUCCUCAGGACCCGCACUGGCCAGUGCAUUUAUUCAUUCCUUCUCUUCUAGAAACUCCCGCUCCUGGAGGAGCAGGUUCAUUCUUGGGCUUUCUCCACCGUGUAAAUUUACUCUGAAAAGAAAAUGGUAGCAUGCAAAGAAGGUGGCACUUCUCGUGCUCUUGCUUUCAUGGGCUGUGUGGUUGUGACACUGUGGUCUGCGACACGGUCUGUGACAUUGUGGGAGGAGCGGACUAGAAAGCCACCCUUUAAUCUGGAGCUUGUCCGCAUGGAAUAGCUUUGGCUUUUGCAGAACGACUGGUUUGAAAGGAACGUUUUAAUGGCCUGCCCUCUAGCGGCGAUCGUGUGGAACCGCUCCGGCCUGGAGCUGGAAGAGUGACUGCCUGGGUCCCUGUGGCUUUGGAGAAACUGGAGCGUGUAAAGCUGGAUGUGGCUUGCUUUGGGUGGGUAGGUGCUUUUAUUCCUUGGACGCUCCCGAAAAUGAUAGAGCUUCUUUUGGGAAGUUAGGGAGCUGACGUUAAGCGCCCUUUGCUGUCUAAGACCCGAUCUUGCUGUUGGGUCCUUUCCAGCGGAUGAGGUGGGGCGUGCAGUUUGAAGCUGGGCCCAGCCUCCUCUAGGCCCAGACCGCAUUGUGGACGGUGGGGGCGGCACUGACCUUUUACACAUUCCCCCCCUGCUCAUCCCCACUCUCCAAGGGAACUCCAGACGCUUGUGUGACCCAAGGCCCCAGAGUCCUGAUUUACGUCCUCAAUUCCACUUUAAAGCUAGCAGCUCUCCUGAAACGAUUAGACACUGCCUGUAUUUCCUCUAAAAGCCCCCGAGUGGAUCACCAGGCGGCGUUUGCCUUGAUCUGAGAAUCUGCAACUUUGGUUUUAAAGGCUCUGGGGACUCCUAGAGUGUUCCCGACAAUAACUUGUGUGUUAGGGGGUUGUUGUCGACUGAACUGCGUCUCCCCCAUAUGUGUGUGAAAUCCUGACCUCUCGGACCUCAGAAUUCAACCUCAUGUGGAAGCACGGUCUUUGCAGAUGUGAUUGAGAAGAGGUGGUACCGGGCGGGUUCCUAGUCCAGGAGACUGAUGUCCUUACCAAAAGGAGAAAGGUGGCCGCAGUGAGUCACGCAGCGAGGAUGCCCUGUGGACACGAAGGCGGAGGUCGGGUGACGCAUCUGUAAGCCAAGGAAGGCCAGGGUCUGUCAGCAAGUCACCAAAAGCUCCGAGGGAGGCACAAAACCAACUCGCCUCCAGAGGCUCCAAAAGGAACCAACCCUGCCAACACCUUGAUUUUGGACAUUUAGCCUCCAGAAAUGCCAGAGAACAGAUUUCUAUGGUUCCAGCCACCCACUCUGUGGCGUGUUGUUACAGCAGCCCUGGAAACGCACUGAGUUUGAGUGCCUCUUGCUGGUUUCAAGGCUGGAAAUGCCAGGACCAUGUGCUCCUUUUGGUGGGUCGAGUGAUCACUGUUUGCACAGGUCAUAAAAUGCCUUUAUUAUUGGCCUUUAUUAUUCGAGCGGAUGCACUUGAAUGUGGCAGGGGGUUUGCUCUCUGUAUCUGCUUUACCCUCUUUGAAAACAGCCUUGAUAAAUUUUGUGGAGCACUUAAAACAUAAGGAAUGCUUUAUUACAUUUCGAUUAAAGAUGGUCACGCUGCAAUCUGUAUUUCUUUCAAGUAAACCAUCUUAAAUGCAACUGGUUCGAGUGAUUAAAGUCAUAAAUAAAAUAGCUGAUUUCCAU